GGAGGAUUGAGAAGUGACAGUGUUGAGACAAGCAACAUAAAACUCCAGGGAUGGCUGUGGGGAUCAAGGGAGACACUGGCCAUAGGGAUACUAUGUUAACUGCAGAUGCGGCUGUAGGAGCACUUUGCUAACUUCCAACCUGAUUGGGUCAGGCAAGUCCAUCCCGUCCUGAGAGCCCCAGGCCCCACUUCGACCUCUAAACAGAUUCCUCCUCUUCUCAGAGACCUCCCUUUCCAAGCCUGCCUGGCCCGAAAAGAAUGGCAUGCAGCCUCUCCUGCUCCUCCUGCCGCCUCUCCUGUACCAACAGCUUCUCCACCCAAGCCUGGGUGCUCCUGGGGAGUCCUGCAUUAGAGGAAGCAGCUGCUGGAUCUACUGUGCAGUGGGGUUGUCAUGGGGGAGAACCCUCCCUGUCCUCUCCCGGUGCAGCCUCCAUGCUAUCAGUGAGGCUCACUAAGAUCUUCAGAGAGAGGGAGGGGGGUGGGAAUCUGAGCACAGUGCGAGCCUCCCCUGCUCCUGCCUGCCCACCCCGCCUGAGGGCUCUACUCAUCACUCUGCUUGUCCGCACACCCAAGCUCCUGUGGGACUGGUGCUCAGAUACUGGUCUGGCUGCUGCUGCAGACUGGGAGCCUCUUGGCUCUUCAGCUCCACCUGCCGGAAGACCCUGGGCAUGAGGACAUGUGGUGGCUGGCUUCCAGAUUCCUGGCCCAUUAAUAGGGUAGCGAGGGCACUGUGGGGCUCUGUGGCCUGCCCAGGCCCCUGGCCCCUUGCUCCAGGCCUAAGAGACUGGCUCCCUUGCCUAGAACCCCAUGCCUCCUUCCCUAGCAUCAAAUCUCACGUCCUUUUUCCCAGCAUUUAAACUGUAGGCCACAGACUGGUGGAAAAGCAGGCGGAGCCAACCACCAUCUGCUAAGUGUGCUACAUGCCUAAUGUUUCCACGUAUUAUCUCAUUUAAUCCUCAGGACCUCUGCAAGGAAAAGGCUAACUUCCUUUUGAAGUUAAAGAAACAGAGACUUAGAGAUGCAAAGUAGUUGAAUUAUGACCAGUGGAACCGAGGCCGGAAUCCAGUUUGAAUCUAAGGAGUCUUUUUUGUUUUUCUGUUUUGUUUUGUUUUGUUUUGAGAGAGUGUCACUCUGUGUCCCAGGCUGCAGUGCAGUGGUGCAAUCUCAGCUCACUGCAACCUUCACCUCCCGGGCUCAAGUGAUUCUCGUGUCUCAGCCUCCCGAGUAGCUGGGAUUACAGGCAUGCACCACCAGGCCCGGCUAAUUAUUAUUAUUAUUUUUAAUUUUAGUAGAGAUGAGCUUUCACCAUGUUGGCCUCAAACUCCUGACCUCAAGUGAUUGUCCUGCUUCAGACUCCCAAAGUGCUGGGAUUGCAGGCGUGAGCCACUACACCCGACAUAAGGAGCCUCUUAUACCACUGUCUCUUCCUCUGUGAUUGGGGGGCUCCAUGCCUCUAGCUGGGAUGAUGAUGUCCAGACCUGGGAGGACCCCAGGGCUACCCACCUCUAAAAGUCAGAGGGCAGGAAGCAAGAAACAGUCAUAGGACUGCCCCGGAGGGUGCUGGGGUCACCUGUCCCCAGGCUGCAGCUGCCUGUGGCCUGGCACCUCCCCUCCCCAGAGGCUGGUGCCCGCCUCCCACAUCUUCUUGGAUGGGUCGGAGGUUACAGUCUCUUUCAGCUCACCCGACUUCUUCAGCUCCUUUACUUGCUGCUCCAACUGCAGUGUGCUCUUGUUCUCGUUGUUCUGGACAGAGAGAAGCAAUCAGUGGCCACCCACUAAAACUGGAGACCCCAGAACUUAGUGUCUGCCUCCCAUGGCACCGGGAAGGGUGGAGGCAGGUUAGAAAAAUAUCCCCUCUCUCCCACAGCCAUCAGAGCAGGGCUCUGGCUCACAGAUGCCUUUAGAAGUACCAUUUCAUGUGAAGGCUACAAUGCCCCAUUUUACAGGUGGGGAAACAAAGGCCUUGAGGGUUAGGGAAGAGGGCAGCCUCCCCAGGUGGAACGCACCAGCUCCUCGAAGCCGCUGCGUGACUCGGCCCGCUGCUCGUAGAGGGCUUCCCACCCCAGCUCCAGCAUCCUCUCCAGCUCCCGCAGCCUCUCCAGCUCCUGCAGAGUCUCCUGCUGCCACAGCCUCUCAUCCUCUUGCCGAAGCCUCUCCUGCUCCAGGAGCUCCUCCACCUCGUCCAGCAGCCUCUCCCUCUCCAGCAGCCUCUCCUGCUCCUCCUGCCGCCUCUCCUGUUCUAACAGCUUCUCCACCUCUUCCAGCAGCCUCUCCUGCCCUGGCAGCUUCUCCCGUUCACACAGCCUCUCCUCCUGUUCACACAGCCUCUCCUCCUGUUCACACAGCCUCUCCUCCUGUUCACGUAGCCUCUCCUCCUGUCUCCUGUUCAGGAGACUCAACAUCUGAUUGUUUUCCACCUCAGCCUGGAGCUGUCUUCCCACACUCUCUAGCUCCUUCCUUAGGUGGUUGGUCUCAUCUUGUAGCUGCUCCACCUUAGAUGGCCCUGCUGGGGGCUCUGGGGCCAGGGGUUCAGCUGAGAAAGGAAGCAGACAAUAAGGGCCUCUAGAGUUAAAAAAAAAAAAAAAAAAAAAUCCUCCCUUCGGUGCACAGCUCCUCCUCUCAGGCUUCCCAAACUUGGCCUCACUGCUAAUGACUCCUCACACCCGGAUGGUAGCCAAUCUUCCAAGUCACUUUCAGAUAGAGAGCACUGUGGGUGGCGGACAAUGGGCACUCCUCCCACUUUACUGAUGGGGACACUGAGGCUCAUGGAGAUGACAAGACUUGUCCUCCCCUGGCACAGACCUCUUUCCCUCUGCCUCAAAGCCCUUCCAUCCACCCACCUCCCUGGGGCAUUCUAAGUCACCCUCACAGCCCUCUAAUGCCAGUCCUGCUGCCAGGUCAUGCCAGCCCCAUCUUACCCGUCUGGUUUUUGAGUUUGAACAAGCUCCUCCCAAGCUUCUGUACCCGAUGUAUCUCAUGCUUCUUCUCCUCCUUAGAUGUGCGAACCUGCCCAAAGCAAAGGGGGAAAAGGGCCCUGGAGGGAGGGGCUGGUGAACCUCUAGAGACAGAGUUUGAGAAAGGCCCACCCCCCUUCUGCCAGUUUGUGAUUUAGAAACGUGCAUUCAUUCAACAAACAUUUACUGAGCAUGUACAGGCCAGGUACAGUUCUUCAUAGCAGAGAUAUAAAACAGCAAAGGACAGACAGGAGCCCUUGGCCCUGAGGUUUCCAUUCUAGGGGCCUUUAAAUCUCUGACUUUCAGAGCUAACCGAGACCUUUGAUACUCUCUGCCUCCUCCAGAAACACGAGCAUAAAGAGGAGAGAUGACUUGUCCAGACUCAAAAAGCAAAUUAGGGACUGAGGCAGAGCAGAAAUAUGGACCCCUGACAACCAGUCAGGCUAGUGCUUCCCGGAAAGGUGACAACCCCAGGGCAUGUGUGGCAAGGACUAGAGCAGGGGUGUCUGGAGAAGAGAGAGUCAGCAAAGAGGGCAGUGCAGAAGAGCCAUGCUGCAUGUUCUGUGCUCUGGGGUCCCUCCAGGCGAGACCUGGGUGCCCAGCUCCCCAUUUGCCCUUGGCAUCAGGGGCCCCUAGCCCCUUUCUUCAGGGCCCCAAGAGGAAACUGGAGUCCGGGAUUGACCAGCUG
Molecule: long non-coding RNA, 3641 nt
Filed under: Pan troglodytes (chimpanzee)
Lineage: Eukaryota; Metazoa; Chordata; Mammalia; Primates; Hominidae
Description: long non-coding RNA NONPTRT005468
Source: RNAcentral